This 362-nucleotide unclassified non-coding RNA is filed under the name uncultured bacterium. Its description in RNAcentral is "contains 16S-23S intergenic spacer region". The record is from RNAcentral.
UCCCCCGUGAGGGGGCAGUCUCGCCUGACUAAUAAAACAGGCAACGAGGGUUGCGUUCGUUACCCCACUGAAGGGAACAACUCAAGCCACGAACUGACGACGACCAUGCAUCACCUGCUCAUAUGCCUUGCGGGGUCCAGUGUUUCCAUAGGAUUUCAUAUGAGUUUCAAAUCGUGGUGAGGUUUUUCGUUUGUCAUCGAAUUAAGCCGCAUGAUCCACCGCUUGUGCAAGUCCCCGUCUAUUCCUUUGAGUUUUAAUCUUGCGAUCGUACUACCCAGGCGCAUCACUUAACGCGUUAGCUUCGCCUCAAAGAGGGUCGAUACUCCUUAAAGCCAGUGAUGAUCGUUUAGGGCGUGGACUAC